UUAUAUUCUCCACAGGGGGGAUGAGAACCCCCGACCGGGGUUCGACAACUGGCAACGCCAGUUGGACAGACCGCAAGCCUGCGAGCGGGCUGCCCCGCAGGGGCGAGCGAAGCGAGUCAAUCCCCCCUCACCGCCA
This 136-nucleotide small RNA is filed under the name Klebsiella pneumoniae. Its description in RNAcentral is "RtT sRNA". It matches the Rfam family "RtT RNA". Rfam says of the family: This family represents a bacterial cis-regulatory element known as RtT RNA. The exact function of RtT is unknown although it is thought that it may be involved in changing the cellular response in relation to amino acid starvation. Lineage: Bacteria; Pseudomonadati; Pseudomonadota; Gammaproteobacteria; Enterobacterales; Enterobacteriaceae. The record is from RNAcentral.